ACUAUAUAUCUUGAGUCACAAUGUCUAGAUGAGGUCAUGGAAUACUUGAGAUGAAAUUAAAGUGACCUGAACUCAAGAGGAGGCAAACAGCAUGCACAACACUCAGACAGUCCCAGUGACUAGGAAAUGUCUUCCUAAUCAGAAACAACCCCAUCUGGGAUUCCACAUCACCAGCUGACACCUUAGGUCAUGGAAAUGUUUCUGUGAUGUAAAAAAUUGUUAUGGUUGGGUAACUCCAGUAAAGAUUCUGUUUCGAAAAAAUCUGAAAUACAGACCACAAUAAAUUACAUAUAACACUAUAAGAAAGGGAAGAAUCCACAAGCAGACCGCCUGGUUCCUUAACAACACCAUGGACUUUUUGAACUUUGACUUUGAGGAGGAUGAAGAUGAGUAUGGCGAGAUGUCGGAAGGCAGCACGUCUGCAGAGAUCCUGUCUGUGACUGACACCACUGACAAAACAGAAGAGAAGUCAAGGGAUGAAAAUUCUGACACAGACCUUGAGAUAGAAGAUGUUGACCGAUCAUUUGCAACCAUAAAGGGUGCAGAACUCUACAUAGAGGCUUGCAAGCUGGUAGGAGUGGUUCCUGUCUCAUACUUCAUUCGUAACAUGGAAGAGCCCAUCAUGAACCUUAACCAUCAUGGGCUCGGACCCAAGGGAACGAAAGCCAUUGCCAUUGCUCUGGUUUCCAACACAACCAUCACCCACUUAGAGCUAGAAGAUAACUGGAUUCUGGGCGAAGGAGCUGCAUACCUGGUGCAGAUGCUGCGGGAGAACUGCUACAUCCAGGAGAUGAAUAUUUCCAAUAAUCAUCUCAACACAGAAGGAGCUGAAGCUAUCUGCAGGAUGUUCUACAAUAAUAUUUCGAAUAUCCGGGCUGUUCAGCUUUCAGGAAACAACUUUAGGGAAGAGACAGCACCAUAUUUUUCGGAAUCAUUAAUGGUCAAUUACAGAGUGAUAGAACUGGACCUCAGCCACAAUGAGUUUGCUGACAAGGGAGGAGAGCAGCUGGGACAGAUGCUGGCCAACAAUGAAUCGCUGGAGGUUCUGAACCUGAGUUGGAAUCACCUGCGCAUGAAGGGGGCUGUAGCCCUGAGUGCAGGCCUCAGGGCCAAUGGAGCAUUGAAGGUACUGGACCUUUCAUGGAACGGUUUUGGGAAUGAGGGUGCUCUGGCCCUUGGGGAAGCCCUCAAGGUCAACAAUGUGCUAAAUGAGCUGGACAUCAGUAGCAACCAUAUCAACAAUGAAGGGACGUUAAAGUUGUGCAAGGGGUUAGAAGUUAAUGGUACCCUUAGAAUCCUGAAGAUGUCCCACAAUCCCAUUACAGUAGAAGGCGCCAUUGCUCUCGUCUCAUGUGUCAGAAAGAACACAAGCACCAAAAUGGAAGAAAUCAAUAUUUCGAAUGUGCUGGUGAAUGAAGGCUUCAUCAGGUUGCUGGAUGUGGUCUGUGACAUACGGCCUGAACUAGAUGUCGUCUAUGGAGGGGUUGGAGGCCACGUUGCCCAUAAGAUUCCACCACGGCCAGAUGCAAUGAAGCUGAUUCAGAACUAUUUAGAUGAACACAAGUUGAGGCUCUGGGACUUCUUUAGGAAUAUGGACAAAUAUGGCAACAUGAAGAUUCCCGUGGCGGAGUUUCGAAGAACCAUGAUGCUGCAAAAAAAGAUCCCCUUGGACCGGGUACAGGUGGUGGAGCUGGUGCGUAAGCUAGACCAAAGCAGGACGGGGUACGUGGACUACAGUAAUUAUAAAGUUGAGGAGCCAGAAAAGAAGCCUGAGGUGGUGGAAGAGGAAGAAGGCUAAUCAGGCCCAGGAGUCAGGUCAUCUGGAUGAGCCCUUAGCUAGAGAUACAGAGAACCGUUGAGCGGCUGGGUCACCAUGUCAAAAGUUUAAAGGUUGGCUUCUUAAUCGCAGAGAACAAAGCGAGCCCAGGAGGACUGUAUAUUGUACUUAUUUCAAACAUCUGAAUUGGCUCUUGGUUUCCCGCGUUCAAGGAUGACGAUCCAAUCAAAGGGCUGUUCUUUCUUUAAAGGCUUUAUCCAGCCUCUGUAGAUGGAGAGAAAGAAGGGCAGGAAUGGAAUAAAAUUGAUGCAUUGGCUAA
This is an RNA transcript of Podarcis raffonei (Aeolian wall lizard), 2096 nucleotides long. It is a transcript of the gene named leucine rich repeat containing 74A, with no coding region annotated. The transcript is spliced from 16 exons. The record is from RefSeq and is a predicted model, not a curated record. NCBI's taxonomy places the organism in Eukaryota, Metazoa, Chordata, Lepidosauria, Squamata, Lacertidae.